GGGGACGUAGCUCAGUUGGAUAGAGCAACCGCCUCCUAAGCGGUAGGUCGGCAGUUCGACUCUGCCCGUCCCUACCA
RNAcentral lists this transfer RNA (77 nucleotides) under Bryobacteraceae bacterium. Its description in RNAcentral is "tRNA-Arg". It matches the Rfam family "tRNA". From Rfam's summary of the family: Transfer RNA (tRNA) molecules are approximately 80 nucleotides in length. Their secondary structure includes four short double-helical elements and three loops (D, anti-codon, and T loops). The record is from RNAcentral. Lineage: Bacteria; Pseudomonadati; Acidobacteriota; Terriglobia; Bryobacterales; Bryobacteraceae. RNAcentral also lists the same sequence under 2 other names.